This 254-nucleotide ribosomal RNA is filed under the name uncultured bacterium. RNAcentral's name for it is "partial 16S ribosomal RNA". It matches the Rfam family "Bacterial small subunit ribosomal RNA", at positions 524 to 776 of the family's 1533-position model. The record is from RNAcentral.
UACAGAGGUCUCAAGCGUUGUUCGGAUUCAUUGGGCGUAAAGGGCGCGUAGGCGGCCUCCGCAAGUCAGUUGUGAAAUCUCCGAGCUUAACUCGGAAAGGUCAACUGAUACUGUGCGGCUAGAGUGCGGAAGGGGCAACUGGAAUUCUUGGUGUAGCGGUGAAAUGCGUAGAUAUCAAGAGGAACACCUGCGGCGAAGGCGGGUUGCUGGGCCGGCACUGACGCUGAGGCGCGAAAGCCAGGGGAGCGAACGGG